UGUGGCGCCUGGCUGCUGCACCCCUUUUCUUUCACUUUCGGCUCUUUGCUUCAGCAAAUGAGGAACCAGAUGUUUCCAGUUCCCUCUGAUGGAGAGACACUGCCACAGUUGUGAGCAGGCAGCUGGACUGUCAGGCUAAACCUGUUUCAAGUAUAAACUGGGCAGUAGUGAGGAGGGAAGGGGUGGCUGUGAGCCAUCUGUCCUCAGCAGCACAUGUACAGGGUCCCAGUCACCUUCUACCCUUGCUGUGUCUUUAAUUCCCAGCUCAAUACCUGGGGCACAGCUACACCAACACCUCCAAAAUCCAGCACUGUGAACUGCCCUUGCCAUGCUGUGAACCCUGCCUGCAAGCAAUGCAAAUAUUUUGAAUUGGAUUCCUGUGGCCUUUUCCCUGGCUGACACACAAGUCUUAAUGGUUCCCAAAAGAACACCAUGAUCAUCACAUACUUUGAAAUUGCUCCUUAAGGCUUAACUGAACUUCGUUUGUGGGGAAAAAUAACACCUCAUGGUAAAUGAGUCCUUGAAUCUGGAUACAACAAAAUUUGGGACCGACCACACCUUGGACUGGGUCUGUUCAAUACGAGCUAAAGGCCACACGCCCAGGUAUGUCUCGACACGCUGCUGACCCCUGCUCGCCCUGAAAGCAGCAAUGUGUGUGUUGUU
Vidua chalybeata is the source of this 663-nucleotide long non-coding RNA. RefSeq lists it as uncharacterized. The transcript is spliced from 3 exons. The record is from RefSeq and is a predicted model, not a curated record. Lineage: Eukaryota; Metazoa; Chordata; Aves; Passeriformes; Viduidae.